UUUUUUUUUUUUUAAUUUUUAGUAGAGACAGGGUUUCACCGUGUUAGCCAGGAUGGUCUCGAUCUCCUGACCUCAUGAUCCACCUGCCUUGGCCUCUCGAAGUGCUGGGAUUACAGGCAUGAGCCACUGCGCCUGGCCAACGAAAUAUGAUUUUUAAGAUGCAUGAUGCCUCAAGAUAAUGAUUCUGUGCAUUAUUACAAUUAUAAUAAUAGAUGUUAUACACUUAUAUAAUGGCCUCUGAAAGAUAUUCUGAAAGUUAUAUUUACUCCCUGUAAAAUGGUUUUCAAAGAAGUGUCUAGGAACUAUGCAUUAAGUCUGGCAUUGCCUUAAAAAUUUAGAAUCUGAUGUAACUCAUCAAAUCAAAACUCAAAAUUAUGAUUCUAAAAUUUGAUUGCAAACUCCCCAAACAGUUUUGAACACAUGAAAGUCUGAAAAUUGCCUUAUAAGGAUGACUUCUUGAGAUUUACCUAUUCAAGAGUAAAGUUGGGGGAUGAUAAAGAAAAUGAGGUUUUGAUUCACUGAAGGGUCCUGCUCACCAAGUUAUUUGAGCAGAUAGAAGGAACUGCUACUUUGAAGACACUGAAAACAUUAUAUUUAAUCAUUUGGCUAUGGGACAUCAUGUGAUGUUCUCAACCAUCUCACUACUUCUGGGAGACCAAUAUUAGAAAUAUCAGAAUUUUAGUACUGAGCAACCUUUAAACUGAGGAAGGAAUUUUCAGAUAAUGUCUCAAUAUCACAUGGAAACAAGAUUCAGAUGAAAUCAAAGAAAAAAUUUUCUUUCCAAGAGCAUUCUUUAAAAUUUUUCAGAACUUUCUAUAUUUAUUUUGGGAGCAGGUAUGAUGAUCAGUCAGUAGAGGAGAGCAAGGAGGAAGGAGACCCACCGUUUAGCAACUCCAGUGCUCUAGGUGAUAUGUUCAGAAGCUGAUGCACACAUGUUAAGACAUCAUUAUCUCCAUUUUAUAGAUGAGGAAAGAGAGGGCAGCAUUGUUAGUCACUUAUUUUAAAAAGAGCUGGAAGGAAAAAGCAGCUUUUAAAAUGAAAAACUAUUAGUGGUAUGUGUAUUGUUGAAGGACAGAAAGUUUCAUUCACCUAAUAUGUUCAUUGAUUUGCAAGGUGAAGACUAUAUCAGCGGGAGCAUAAACUUUAAUGUUUCUUGUGACAUAGGGAGAGCAGAUGGGUACACCCAUUGUGAGCCCUUGAACAAGCAGUCUCAGAGACCCUGCACCACAGGCACAGGCACAGACCUAAAGUUAGAAUGCACUGCUGCCAGGACCCACUGUUUUGUGGCCAGGGAGCCUCUAUAAUAAUGUUGUCUGGGUGCUGCAGACUAACUAGCCAGGGCCAUGACAUUGCAGAUGCAGCACAGCUACCAACCAACCUAGGCUCUCCAAGCAUGGCUGGCAGCACAUUUGUAUUUCUGUCCGAAUUUUCCAUUCGAAAUUGGUCAACAGCUGGAAUGCUACGUUUGUCUUGGGUUGGCCAACUUCCUGUAUUGUUUUCUAUUGUUAUCCCUUAGAAAAGUAAUAACAAAACAUUAUAUAAAAGUAAUUAUAAAAGUCUAUUAAAAUUUCAGAAUGGAGGCAUUUCUUAGGUUCAAAACUAGGAUUCUGAUCAAGAGAUGAGACUUACCUUUUCUUGCACUGCUUUUAAAAUAAGAAGAUCAAUAAAGUUAACUAAAAUAUUAAUAUAUGCAUCUUUAGGAUACUCAAAACAUAAAACUGAUUUUUAAAAUAAAAAUAUUGCAUCUAAUCAUGAAAUUAUUGGUCAUUGUUCUUUCUGUG
Molecule: long non-coding RNA, 1781 nt
Filed under: Homo sapiens (human)
Lineage: Eukaryota; Metazoa; Chordata; Mammalia; Primates; Hominidae
Description: LNC_000819
Source: RNAcentral